Molecule: ribosomal RNA, 395 nt
Filed under: Ventrifissuridae sp.
Lineage: Eukaryota; Cercozoa; Thecofilosea; Ventricleftida; Ventrifissuridae
Description: partial small subunit ribosomal RNA
Rfam family: Eukaryotic small subunit ribosomal RNA
Source: RNAcentral
AUUCCAGCUCCAGUAGCGUAUAUUAACGUUGUUGCAGUUAAAAAGCUCGUAGUUGGAUUUCUGGUGAGAUUGACCCGGCCCCGCCAGAUUUGGUGUGAGUGCUGGUGUUUAUCUGCCAUCCUUCUAGAGAACGGUACUACCCUUCAUUGGGUCGGUGCUGCUAUCUAGAUCUUUUACUUUGAAAAAAUUAGAGUGUUUAAAGCAGGCGUUGCAUUGAAUACAUUAGCAUGGAAUAAUAAUAUAGGACUUCGGUCUCUAUUUUGUUGGUUUCUAGAACUGAAGUAAUGGUUGAUAGGGAUAGUUGGGGGUGCUAGUAUUCAGCGGCCAGAGGUGAAAUUCUUGGAUUCGCUGAAGACUAACUUAUGCGAAAGCAUUCACCGAGGAUGUCUUCAUCA